This 520-nucleotide ribosomal RNA is filed under the name uncultured Glomus. RNAcentral's name for it is "SSU rRNA". It matches the Rfam family "Eukaryotic small subunit ribosomal RNA", at positions 569 to 1092 of the family's 1831-position model. Lineage: Eukaryota; Fungi; Glomeromycota; Glomeromycetes; Glomerales; Glomeraceae. The record is from RNAcentral.
AGCAGCCGCGGUAAUUCCAGCUCCAAUAGCGUAUAUUAAAGUUGUUGCAGUUAAAAAGCUCGUAGUUGAAUUUCGGGACCAAUCUGCCGGUCGUGCCUCCGGUACGCACUGGUUUUAUUGGUUUCUCCCUUCUGACGAACCAUGAUGUCAUUAAUUUGGUGUCAUGGGGAAUCAGGACUGUUACUUUGAAAAAUUAGAGUGUUUAUAGCAGGCUCACGCUUGAAUACAUUAGCAUGGAAUAAUGAAAUAGGACGUUUGACCCUAUUUUGUUGGUUUCUAGGAUCGACGUAAUGAUUAAUAGGGAUAGUUGGGGGCAUUAGUAUUCAAUUGUCAGAGGUGAAAUUCUUGGAUUUAUUGAAGACUAACUACUGCGAAAGCAUUUGCCAAGGAUGUUUUCAUUAAUCAAGAACGAAAGUUAGGGGAUCGAAGACGAUCAGAUACCGUCGUAGUCUUAACCAUAAACUAUGCCGACUAGGGAUCGGAUGAUGUUAAUUUUUAAUGACUCAUUCGGCGCCUUAAC